RNAcentral lists this transfer RNA (77 nucleotides) under Bacillota bacterium. RNAcentral's name for it is "Firmicutes bacterium (anaerobic digester metagenome) tRNA-Pro". It matches the Rfam family "tRNA". Rfam says of the family: Transfer RNA (tRNA) molecules are approximately 80 nucleotides in length. Their secondary structure includes four short double-helical elements and three loops (D, anti-codon, and T loops). Further hydrogen bonds mediate the characteristic L-shaped molecular structure. tRNAs have two regions of fundamental functional importance: the anti-codon, which is responsible for specific mRNA codon recognition, and the 3' end, to which the tRNAs corresponding amino acid is attached (by aminoacyl-tRNA synthetases). tRNAs cope with the degeneracy of the genetic code in two manners: having more than one tRNA (with a specific anti-codon) for a particular amino acid; and 'wobble' base-pairing, i.e. permitting non-standard base-pairing at the 3rd anti-codon position. Lineage: Bacteria; Bacillati; Bacillota. The record is from RNAcentral.
CGGGGUGUAGCGCAGUUUGGUAGCGCACUUGGUUUGGGACCAAGGGGUCGCAGGUUCAAAUCCUGUCGCCCCGACCA